UGCCAGCCGCCGCGGUAAUACGGAGGGUGCAAGCGUUAUCCGGAUUCACUGGGUUUAAAGGGUGCGUAGGCGGGUAGGUAAGUCAGAGGUGAAAUCCUGGAGCUUAACUCCAGAACUGCCUUUGAUACUAUCUAUCUUGAAUAUGGUGGAGGUAAGCGGAAUAUGUCAUGUAGCGGUGAAAUGCAUAGAUAUGACAUAGAACACCUAUUGCGAAGGCAGCUUACUACGCCUAUAUUGACGCUGAGGCACGAAAGCGUGGGGAUCAAACAGGAUUAGAUACCCUGGUAGUCCACGCCCUAAACGAUGAUUACUCGACGUAUGCGAUACACAGUAUGCGUCUGAGCGAAAGCAUUAAGUAAUCCACCUGGGAAGUACGACCGCAAGGUUGAAACUCAAAGAAAUUGACGGGA
This 410-nucleotide ribosomal RNA is filed under the name uncultured bacterium. Its description in RNAcentral is "bacterial SSU rRNA". It matches the Rfam family "Bacterial small subunit ribosomal RNA", at positions 506 to 918 of the family's 1533-position model. The record is from RNAcentral.